RNAcentral lists this long non-coding RNA (496 nucleotides) under Trifolium pratense (red clover). RNAcentral's name for it is "long non-coding RNA (TPRA_LNC007075)". Lineage: Eukaryota; Viridiplantae; Streptophyta; Magnoliopsida; Fabales; Fabaceae. The record is from RNAcentral.
GCAUAUUAAUUAAUUAUGCAAUAUUGGAAUAUAAAUGCACAGUAUAAGAUUGCUCAACGCUAAAAGAAAUGAUGUUCGAACAUCAAAAUAUUGAUGUCAAAUACGGUAUGUCCUUUGCUUCUUGUGUGUGUUUUUAAAAUAUGCGUAAAGUGUAAAAGAUAAAAAGUAGAAGAGAGAAAAGAUAAACUCAUACAGUGUCAGAAUUUCAAUGAUCAAACAACAUAGUUGAAACACAAAAUAGGUUCAUGUCUUAAGUUUAACUUUAGUGCAUGUUUGUUUCAAAUUUUGGUAAGUGUAAACAGUUAAAUACCACUUCCAAUUUGCACUUUUAAAGGGAUCAAAACACCAAGAAUCUAAAACAAAUUAACAAGCCUUAAACACUACAAAAGUAACAAUGGUAGCUUAAAAUGGUACACUAUUUUGUAUCCAUCAAUUGUGUUUUGAUGAUAGCUGCACCCACUUCCUCAAUAUAUGGAAACAAGUGUCCAGCACCUGG